CCAGUGACUUUGUUCAACGGCCGCGGUAUNCCUAACCGGGGAAGGUAGCGUAAUCACUUGUUCUUUAAAUGAGGACUAGUAUGAAUGGCCCCACGAGGGCUGCACUGUCUCCUUUUUCUAAUCAAUGAAACUAAUCUCCCCGUGAAGAAGCGGGAAUUGUCCUAUAAGACGAGAAGACCCUAUGGAGCUUUAAACAAUUGAAACAUUUGCUUUUCUCCUAACUCCUCCCGAGCUCUUUAUUUUUAUUUAAGCAUUAUUAUUUCUAGUUUUAGGUUGGGGUGACCACGGAGCAAAACUAAACCUCCAUGAAGAAAUGAAUAUUUUUAAGCCACAAACUACUUUUUUAAGCAUCAACAAAUUGACCUUCAUUGACCCAAUAUAUUGAUCANCGAACCAAGUUACCCUAGGGAUAACAGCGCAAUCUACUUCAAGAGCUCAUAUCGACAAGUAGGUUUACGACCUCGAUGUG
This 469-nucleotide ribosomal RNA is filed under the name Ameerega trivittata (three-striped poison frog). RNAcentral describes it as "partial 16S ribosomal RNA". It matches the Rfam family "Bacterial large subunit ribosomal RNA", at positions 1863 to 2533 of the family's 2925-position model. The record is from RNAcentral. Lineage: Eukaryota; Metazoa; Chordata; Amphibia; Anura; Dendrobatidae.